GGGAAUCUAAGUGCUCACAACCGAAACAAGCAUCAGAAGAUCAAGCGUCAUUUCUGCCCUGAAUGCCGCGCGGGCUUUUUCCAAAGACAAGAGCUUGCAGCGCAUAUGGCGGCGCACGCCGGCGAACGCGCUCACAGGUGCACUCUGUGCCCCAAGCGGUACCCCCGCAAGAAAGCUCUUAUAGUACACAUGAGAACGCACACAGACGAUCGCCGGUUCGCUUGUGAGGUGUGCGGUAAACGGUUCAUUCAAAAAUGCACCUUACUCGUACACGCUAAGGUCCACAGUCGCGCAGAUAAGACAGUUGAAGUGAGCACAGCGAAUUGUAGUGUUACAGAGUGAUUUGUAAUAAAAUAUCCAAAAAUC
Molecule: long non-coding RNA, 366 nt
Organism: Ostrinia nubilalis (European corn borer)
Lineage: Eukaryota; Metazoa; Arthropoda; Insecta; Lepidoptera; Crambidae
Exons: 2
Source: RefSeq, a predicted model, not a curated record